GGCCCCGUAGUACAAUGGAUAGUAUAUAAGUUUCCGGAACUUAGGAUCCAGGUUCGAUCCCUGGCGGGGCUACAA
RNAcentral lists this transfer RNA (75 nucleotides) under Chitinophagaceae bacterium. RNAcentral's name for it is "tRNA-Arg". It matches the Rfam family "tRNA". From Rfam's summary of the family: Transfer RNA (tRNA) molecules are approximately 80 nucleotides in length. Their secondary structure includes four short double-helical elements and three loops (D, anti-codon, and T loops). The record is from RNAcentral. Lineage: Bacteria; Pseudomonadati; Bacteroidota; Chitinophagia; Chitinophagales; Chitinophagaceae.